GACGGGUGAGUACACGUAGGUACCUGCCCCUCAGACGGNGAUAGGACUGGAGACGGGCGCUANUACCCGGAUGACUUAGUUGGGGAAGCACCGGCUAAGGAAAGGCUUUGGCGCUUGAGGAGGGGCCUGCGGCCCAUCAGUUAGUUGGUAGGGUAACGGGCUACCAAGGCGAAGACGGGUAGGGGGUGUGAGAGCACGGGCCCCCACACUGGGACUGAGACACGGGCGAGACGCGGGGANCAGGCAGCAGCGGGGAAUAUAGCGCAAUGGACGCAAGUCAGACGCAGCUAUGCCGCGUGGGUGAAGAAGGCCUUCGGGUUGUAAAGCCCUUUUCUGUGGGAAGAGGAAGGACGGUACCAUAGGAAUAAGCGUCGGCUAACUACGUGCCAGCAGCCGCGGUAAGACGUAGGACGCGAGCGUUAUCCGGAUUUACUGGGCGUAAAGCGUGUGUAGGCGGCGUGACAAGUUGGGCGUGAAAGCCCCAUGCUCAACGCGGGGAGGCCGCACAAUACUGUCAGGCUAGAGGGCAUCAGAGGGGUGUGGAAUUCCCGGAGUAGCGGUAAAAUGCGCAGAUAUCGGGAGGAACACCGGUGGCGAAAGCGGUACCCUGGGGUGCACCUGACGCUGAGA
This 630-nucleotide ribosomal RNA is filed under the name uncultured organism. Its description in RNAcentral is "bacterial SSU rRNA". It matches the Rfam family "Bacterial small subunit ribosomal RNA", at positions 100 to 751 of the family's 1533-position model. The record is from RNAcentral.